UGGUGGGAUACUACCCUAGCUGUGUUGGCUUUCUAACCCGCACCACUUAUCGUGGUGGGAGACAGUGUCAGGCGGGCAGUUUGACUGGGGCGGUCGCCUCCUAAAAGGUAACGGAGGCGCUCAAAGGGUCCCUCAGAAUGGUUGGAAAUCAUUCAUAGAGUGUAAAGGCAUAAGGGAGCUUGACUGCGAGACCUACAAGUCGAGCAGGGUCGAAAGACGGACUUAGUGAUCCGGUG
Molecule: ribosomal RNA, 236 nt
Filed under: Staphylococcus aureus
Lineage: Bacteria; Bacillati; Bacillota; Bacilli; Caryophanales; Staphylococcaceae
Description: partial 23S ribosomal RNA
Rfam family: Bacterial large subunit ribosomal RNA
Source: RNAcentral